GGAAGGAUCAUUAACACGUUUUCCAAACGUUAUUGACCCAUUCUAUUUUCCGUGCACACACAUGCGUCCGGCCUCCCAGCCGCCUGCCGGGUUUACUCGGUAUGGCCUGUUGGGCGUCUUUGGGAUCAAAGGAGUUUGUGGUUGUUUCUCACGAGACUGCUGCUUUCUUCUCCCUCUGGCGUUGCCACCUCACCCAAACCCUUUAAUCUAAUCUAUCUGAACUUUUAGUUGCUGAAGGAGAGCAAUCUCUGGAUACAACGAAUACAAAACAAACAACAACUCUUAACAACGGAUAUCUUGGUUCUCGCAACGAUGAAGAACGCAGCGAAAUGCGAUACGUAAUGCGAAUUGCAGAAUUCCGUGAAUCAUCAAGUUUUUGAACGCAAAUUGCGCCCUCUUUUAUCGGAGGGCACGCUUCUUUGAGUGUCGGUUUAACUUCUUUCUGGCAGCGUGCUGUCAUGAAGGGCAAUUUUGAGUGUUUCUUUCUCUGCAAAGAGAAAGUCACUUCAAGUACUUCAGGGGAGGCUUUUCGGAGCCCUUCCUGCCAGUGCACCGCUGGACUUGCGCUUAAAAAGAGUGCUAGUCAAGGUGGCGUGGAUAAUUCACUUCUUCAAUGAGGUGGUCCAAUACGUCAUUUCGGAUUCACUUCCGAGAUCCUGCGAGAGCAAUCUCAAAGGGCUUUGACUUCACUUUUUGCAUUUCUCAGCAGCACAAACCCCACCAAACAGACCUCAAAUGAAGCGAGAGGACCCGGUGAAUUUAAGCAUAUUAUUAACCGGAGGAAAAGAAACUAACAAGGAUUCCCCUAGUAACGGCGAGUGAAGCGGGAAGAGCUCAACUUGGAAAUCGGUAGGGCAUGCGUCCGUCCGAAUUGUAGUCUAGAGACGUUACCGCAAGUGCGGGUGGCGGGUCAAAUUUCCCUGGAAAGGGAAGCCAUAGAGGGUGAGAGCCCCGUCUGUGACUCGUUUGCCUGUAUGUGUCGGUUCGUUCUUCGAGUCGAGUUGCCUGGGAUCGCAGCUCUAAAUGGGUGGUAAAUUUCAUCUAAAGCUAAAUAUGGGCGAGAGACCGAUAGCGAACAAGUACCGUGAGGGAAAGAUGAAAAGAACUUUGAAAAGAGAGUUAAAAGUACUUGAAAUUGUUAAGAGGGAAGCACUGGAAGCCAUUCGGGAGGUGUCUCUAUGGACUUAUGUCUUGUUCGAGGCGCCUUUGGGGUCAGCAUCAAUUUCUGGCGCGGGAGAAGGCUUUACUGCUCUACCAGCUGUCGGGGAUUGAGGAUUGAAUGUUCAUUCGGUGUUUGCGUUUCGCAGUGGUUCAUCUUUUGUCGCAGAACAAAGUUCUUCGGUUUUAGCUGUGCUUCUUUCGUUGCGCUCUACCUGUUCAUUCGUGAUGCUGACGAUACGGUUUUCAUUGACCCGUCUUGAAACACGGACCAAGGAGUCUAACAUAUAUGCGAGUAUUUGGGUGGUUAAAACCCUGGUGCGCAAUGAAAGUAAUUUUUGGUAGGAACCCUUCACCGGGCGCACUAUCGACCGAUCACGCAAGUGAUCUUGAGUAAGAGCAUAUCUGUUGGGACCCGAAAGAUGGUGAUCUAUGCCUGAACAGGGUGAAGCCAGGGGAAACUCUGGUGGAGGCUCGUAGCGAUACUGACGUGCAAAUCGUUCGUCUGAUUUGGGUAUAGGGGCGAAAGACUAAUCGAACCAUCUAGUAGCUGGUUCCCUC
Molecule: unclassified non-coding RNA, 1719 nt
Filed under: uncultured fungus
Lineage: Eukaryota; Fungi
Description: sequence contains 18S rRNA gene, ITS1, 5.8S rRNA gene, ITS2, 28S rRNA gene
Rfam family: Eukaryotic large subunit ribosomal RNA (bases 727-1719)
Source: RNAcentral